This 480-nucleotide ribosomal RNA is filed under the name uncultured bacterium. RNAcentral's name for it is "bacterial SSU rRNA". It matches the Rfam family "Bacterial small subunit ribosomal RNA", at positions 8 to 507 of the family's 1533-position model. The record is from RNAcentral.
AGAGUUUGAUCCUGGCUCAGAUUGAACGCUGGCGGCAUGCCUUACACAUGCAAGUCGAACGGCAGCACGGGAGCAAUCCUGGUGGCGAGUGGCGAACGGGUGAGUAAUAUAUCGGAACGUGCCCAGUAGUGGGGGAUAGCCCGGCGAAAGCCGGAUUAAUACCGCAUACGACCUGUGGGUGAAAGCGGGGGGAUCGCAAGACCUCGCGCUAUUGGAGCGGCCGAUAUCUGAUUAGCUAGUUGGUGGGGUAAAGGCCUACCAAGGCAUCGAUCAGUAGCUGGUCUGAGAGGACGACCAGCCACACUGGGACUGAGACACGGCCCAGACUCCUACGGGAGGCAGCAGUGGGGAAUAUUGGACAAUGGGCGAAAGCCUGAUCCAGCAAUGCCGCGUGAGUGAUGAAGGCCCUAGGGUUGUAAAAUUCUUUCGACGGGGAAGAUAAUGACGGUACCCGUAGAAGAAGCUCCGGCUAACUUCGUG